Arabidopsis lyrata subsp. lyrata is the source of this 1485-nucleotide RNA transcript. It is a transcript of the gene named protein MNN4, with no coding region annotated. Lineage: Eukaryota; Viridiplantae; Streptophyta; Magnoliopsida; Brassicales; Brassicaceae. The record is from RefSeq and is a predicted model, not a curated record. The transcript is spliced from 2 exons.
ACAUAAGUGAUUUAUAUUGGGUAUCAGUAGCCCAAAACUUAUUUUUUUAAUAGAUCAAACCAUAUAUUUGGGGCUGAUCCGUAUCAGUCCACUGAUACCUUUGAUACUCGUAUCGGGUGACGUGGCAGCACACAGUUGGUUCAGUGAAAGCAGAGAAAAAAAAAAAAAAAUUCUUCGAUCCCAUCUCUCCUCCUCCUCCGCCGAUUCUUCUUCGAUCCCAUCGCUCCUCCGCCAAUUCUUCUUCUUCUCCACCGCGAGCUUGAACUGGAAGACAAGCAAGUCCCCGGUCUCAGCUCGAUUUUGUGACCGCUGCGAAGAUCUUGUUCACUGAACCACCCAAGAAGAAUAAAUUUGGGUAAUUUGUGCUGGAAAUUUGGGGGUUUUAAGAGGGUUUUACUCUCGAAUUCUUUUUAUGGGUUUUCAAUUUCUGCACAUACUCUUCGUUGAUCUUGUCUUUUGUUUAGUUUAUCAGAAUAAUGGGUUUGAUUCAUGCUUCUAUAAGCCAUAAAUCAUGGAAAGACCCUAUUUUUUCCACUUACCUUAUAGAUUUUGAAGUUAAUUUUAGGAAAGAGUAGUGUUACAGAGCCUCAGAAUUGUAGAAUCGUGGCAUGUGAGCUUCUUUAGGUUGAAACAAGUGGGGAGAUCACUGAACUGGUUUUCAAGUUCUCCUACAAUUAUCUCUUUCACUUUCUGAAACUAGCUCUUAUAGUAAGUUGAGUUCUUGUGCUGGUUUGUGUUGUAGUAAGUCCUCAUAUGGAUUUUGAUUUGUGUUAGCUUUGAUUGGCAUGUGGUGCAAUUCAUUAUCGUCUGUUUGCCAUCUGUAGGUAUUGCUAUUUACUUCCCGUUAACUUUCUCUCUUAAUUGUUUUGUUCAAUGUUUUUUUGUCAAAGAUCUCAAUAUUUCUUGUUUAUAAAUGACCAUUGUUUCUUGUAACAACUGUGUAUCUGGUUUUUCAAUAUGCUCGCUGGAAAAUGAAGAUCAUGGAUGCACAUAUGCCUCGUCAUAUUGGACUAAUUCUCAGGAACUUGGAGAGAAGAAAAGGAAAGAAGAAGAAAAGAAAGAGAAAGAAGAAGCUGAACAAAAGGCAUUAGAAGUAGAAGGAGCAACCAAGUCUCACGAAGAGCUAAUGGAAAUGAAACAGAGAUUGGGAAAAAUCGAAGAGACAAUAAAGGAGAUUGUUUUGGAAACCAAUAAACCUUCAGAGAAAGCUCCGACCAAAACCCAAGAAGAUCAAUCUACUAAACUCUCCCCAAAAGAAGAAUCAAAACCAGAAAAAGAACAUAAGGGCAAUGUACAGAAACCAGCUGAUGGAUUUCAUUGAGAUGAUUAGAAGGGAAACAUAGGUGGUAGAUGAAGAAGGAUGUACCUUUCUGUGAGUUAUUAUGCUUUUGGAACUAAUACAGUAGUUGAUGCAAUUCUCGGAUUUUGCUUUUGGUUGUUGAAUCACCUUUUGAAUUAAUAUAGAUCACAAUGAUUUGCGUUUAA